Molecule: ribosomal RNA, 480 nt
Filed under: uncultured bacterium
Lineage: Bacteria
Description: bacterial SSU rRNA
Rfam family: Bacterial small subunit ribosomal RNA
Source: RNAcentral
GGUCUGAGAGGAUGAUCAGCCACAUUGGGACUGAGACACGGCCCAAACUCCUACGGGAGGCAGCAGUGGGGAAUAUUGGACAAUGGGCGCAAGCCUGAUCCAGCCAUGCCGCGUGAGUGAUGAAGGCCUUAGGGUUGUAAAGCUCUUUCACCGGAGAAGAUAAUGACGGUAUCCGGAGAAGAAGCCCCGGCUAACUUCGUGNNGGCCGGAAGGGUAAUACGAAGGGGGCUAGCGUUGUUCGGAAUUACUGGGCGUAAAGCGCACGUAGGCGGAUAUUUAAGUCAGGGGUGAAAUCCCAGAGCUCAACUCUGGAACUGCCUUUGAUACUGGGUAUCUUGAGUAUGGAAGAGGUAAGUGGAAUUCCGAGUGUAGAGGUGAAAUUCGUAGAUAUUCGGAGGAACACCAGUGGCGAAGGCGGCUUACUGGUCCAUUACUGACGCUGAGGUGCGAAAGCGUGGGGAGCAAACAGGAUUAGAUACC